RNAcentral lists this ribosomal RNA (570 nucleotides) under uncultured bacterium. RNAcentral describes it as "partial 16S ribosomal RNA". It matches the Rfam family "Bacterial small subunit ribosomal RNA", at positions 355 to 918 of the family's 1533-position model. The record is from RNAcentral.
UGGGGAAUUUUGGACAAUGGGCGAAAGCCUGAUCCAGCAAUGCCGCGUGUGUGAAGAAGGCCUUCGGGUUGUAAAGCACUUUUGUCCGGAAAGAAAUCCUUGGCUCUAAUACAGUCGGGGGAUGACGGUACCGGAAGAAUAAGCACCGGCUAACUACGUGCCAGCAGCCGCGGUAAUACGUAGGGUGCAAGCGUUAAUCGGAAUUACUGGGCGUAAAGCGUGCGCAGGCGGUUUGUUAAGACCGAUGUGAAAUCCCCGGGCUCAACCUGGGAACUGCAUUGGUGACUGGCAGGCUAGAGUAUGGCAGAGGGGGGUAGAAUUCCACGUGUAGCAGUGAAAUGCGUAGAGAUGUGGAGGAAUACCGAUGGCGAAGGCAGCCCCCUGGGCCAAUACUGACGCUCAUGCACGAAAGCGUGGGGAGCAAACAGGAUUAGAUACCCUGGUAGUCCACGCCCUAAACGAUGUCAACUAGUUGUUGGGGAUUCAUUUCCUUAGUAACGUAGCUAACGCGUGAAGUUGACCGCCUGGGGAGUACGGUCGCAAGAUUAAAACUCAAAGGAAUUGACGGGG